Unclassified non-coding RNA from Cebus imitator (Panamanian white-faced capuchin), 301 nucleotides. It matches the Rfam family "Metazoan signal recognition particle RNA". Rfam says of the family: The signal recognition particle (SRP) is a universally conserved ribonucleoprotein. It is involved in the co-translational targeting of proteins to membranes. The eukaryotic SRP consists of a 300-nucleotide 7S RNA and six proteins: SRPs 72, 68, 54, 19, 14, and 9. The record is from Ensembl. NCBI's taxonomy places the organism in Eukaryota, Metazoa, Chordata, Mammalia, Primates, Cebidae.
GCCGGGCACGGUGGUACGUGCCUGUAGUCCCAGCUACUCGGGAGGCUAAGGCUGGAGGAUUGCUUGAGUCCAGGAGUUCUGGGCUGUAGUGCUAUGCUCAUCGUGUGUCCACAGUAAGUUCAGCAUCAACAUGGUGACUUCCCGGGAACAGGGGACCGACCACCAGGUUGCCUAAGGAGGGAUGAACCAGCCCAGGUCGGAAACGGUGCAGGUCAAAACUCCUGGGCUGAUCAGUAGUGGGAUCGUGCCUGUGAAUAGCCACUGCACUCCAGCCUGGGCAACAUAGCAAGACCCUCUCUCU